UACGUAGGGGGCAAGCGUUAUCCGGAAUUAUUGGGCGGAAAGCGCGCGCAGGUGGUUUCUUAAGUCUGAUGUGAAAGCCCACGGCUCAACCGUGGAGGGUCAUUGGAAACUGGGAGACUUGAGUGCAGAAGAGGAAAGUGGAAUUCCAUGUGUAGCGGUGAAAUGCGUAGAGAUAUGGAGGAACACCAGUGGCGAAGGCGACUUUCUGGUCUGUAACUGACACUGAGGCGCGAAAGCGUGGGGAGCAAACAGG
This 253-nucleotide ribosomal RNA is filed under the name uncultured bacterium. RNAcentral describes it as "partial 16S ribosomal RNA". It matches the Rfam family "Bacterial small subunit ribosomal RNA", at positions 524 to 776 of the family's 1533-position model. The record is from RNAcentral.